This 501-nucleotide ribosomal RNA is filed under the name Obelia bidentata. RNAcentral's name for it is "partial 16S ribosomal RNA". It matches the Rfam family "Bacterial large subunit ribosomal RNA", at positions 1884 to 2540 of the family's 2925-position model. The record is from RNAcentral. Lineage: Eukaryota; Metazoa; Cnidaria; Hydrozoa; Leptothecata; Obeliidae.
GAUUUGUAAUUAAAAAUUUAAUAAGUUUUAAAAUAAAUUUAAAGGACGCGGUAACCUUGACCGUGAUAAUGUAGCGUAAUCACUCGCCAUUUAAUUGAUGGAUAGUAUGAAUGGUUGAACGAAUAUUCCACUGUCUUAAAAAAAAUUAAACGAAAUUGAAGUAAUAGUAAAGAUGCUAUUAUAAACUGUAAGACGAAAAGACCCUAUAGAGCUUAACUAUAAUCUCUUUAUUCUAAAAAUAAAAUAACUUAUAUAAUUAAAGAGUUUGGUAGUUUAGUUGGGGCGACUGUCUUCUAAAAUUAACGAAGACAAGCAAUAUUAAUAAUUAAUUUAUUGUAUAAUUUAAUAAUUUAACAAUUACUAAAGUAGGCUAUAAUGACCCGUUUUUACUUUAAAAUAAGAAAAACGAUCAAUUAAUAAAAGCUACCUUAGGGAUAACAGGAUAAUUUCAUUUUAGAGUUCAAAUCGAAAAUGAAGUUUGUCACCUCUAUGUUGAAUUAA